GAGUGAAAAAGAACCUGAAACCGUGUACGUACAAGCAGUGGGAGCACAGGUUUACCUGUGUGACUGCGUACCUUUUGUAUAAUGGGUCAGCGACUUAUAUUCUGUAGCAAGGUUAACCGAAUAGGGGAGCCGGAGGGAAACCGAGUCUUAAUUGGGCGUUAAGUUGCAGGGUAUAGACCCGAAACCCGGUGAUCUAGCCAUGGGCAGGUUGAAGGUUGGGUAACACUAACUGGAGGACCGAACCGACUAAUGUUGAAAAAUUAGCGGAUGACCUGUGGCUGGGGGUGAAAGGCCAAUCAAACCGGGAGAUAGCUGGUUCUCCCCGAAAGCUAUUUAGGUAGCGCCUCGUGAAUUCAUCUCCGGGGGUAGAGCACUGUUUCGGCUAGGGGGCCAUCCCGGCUUACCAACCCGAUGCAAACUGCGAAUACCGGAGAAUGUUAUCACGGGAGACACACGGCGGGUGCUAACGUCCGUCGUGAAGAGGGAAACAACCCAGACCGCCAGCUAAGGUCCCAAAGUCAUGGUUAAGUGGGAAACGAUGUGGGAAGGCCCAGACAGCCAGGAUGUUGGCUUAGAAGCAGCCAUCAUUUAAAGAAAGCGUAAUAGCUCACUGGUCGAGUCGGCCUGCGCGGAAGAUGUAACGGGGCUAAACCAUGCACCGAAGCUGCGGCAGCGA
RNAcentral lists this ribosomal RNA (676 nucleotides) under Salmonella enterica subsp. enterica serovar Ohio. Its description in RNAcentral is "bacterial LSU rRNA". It matches the Rfam family "Bacterial large subunit ribosomal RNA", at positions 536 to 1211 of the family's 2925-position model. The record is from RNAcentral. Lineage: Bacteria; Pseudomonadati; Pseudomonadota; Gammaproteobacteria; Enterobacterales; Enterobacteriaceae.